UACGGGGGGGGCAAGCGUUGUUCGGAAUUACUGGGCGUAAAGGGCUCGUAGGCGGCCAACUAAGUCACACGUGAAAUCCCUCGGCUCAACCGGGGAACUGCGUGUGAUACUGGAUGGCUUGAGUUUGGGGGAGGAAUGCGGAAUUCCAGGUGUAGCGGUGAAAUGCGUAGAUAUCUGGAGGAACACCGGUGGCGAAGGCGGCAUUCUGGACCAAUACUGACGCUGAGGAGCGAAAGCCAGGGGAGCAAACGGG
RNAcentral lists this ribosomal RNA (253 nucleotides) under uncultured bacterium. RNAcentral describes it as "partial 16S ribosomal RNA". It matches the Rfam family "Bacterial small subunit ribosomal RNA", at positions 524 to 776 of the family's 1533-position model. The record is from RNAcentral.